UUUCGAAUAAUUUCAUAAGAUUUUAGACAUUGCUCCAAACAACAAGAACUUGAAGAAUUUUAUAUUUAUUCAUAUUAAAACCCCCCAUUUUUACAACAAGUGUGACUCAACUCAAAAUGUUUUGAAAUCACAAAUCUUUUGUGCUAAAUAAUGAGCAUUUUCUUGAAACCAAUUAAGGUUCUCGAGAGCAAAACCAUGAUGCCAUAGCUUUUUCGAAACUUCAACUUAGUUUUCAACUGGAAUUGAUCUAAAGUUGAUGAAUUAACAUCUUUCCCGAGGCUAAUUAAUCUCUACCAUCAAAUUGAAGGACAUAGUUAUGGUCAAUAACAAAUGAUUCAGCAGUAAAGUACUAGUCAAAAGUACAAAAAAAAAACAUUAAGAGCAUUUCCAACUCAAUACCUUAUUUUAAGGUUCCGACGACUUUGCUGUUAAUCAGAAUGUCGUCGGAAAUUCGUCGGAAUAUACCGACGAACUUCCGACGACUACAACGGUUACAUUUUUUAUCGGAAUGUCGUCGAAAAGUCGUCGGAAAGUUCCGACGAACCAUAUUUCGUCGGAAUUCCGUCGGAAAUGGCCGACGGAAUUCCGACGACUUAAUUUUUUUGGAUUUGGUCAGAAAUUUGUCAGUAUUCCGUCACAAAUGUCCGACGACCUUGGUGUCUGUCGUAACCUCCGUCGGAAUUCGGUGUGUUUUCUUGUAGUGUGUAGUCUCUACACAGUUGUGCACUUGUUCUCUUGUGGUGUCACGACAUUGAAUUUAUGAAUACAGCUAUGAGCUAUCUUAAUUAUGGAUAUAUAUUUAUUCUUUUGAUCGAAAAAUAUACUCCCUCCGUUUUAUACUAAGUGUAAUUGUAGAAAAAAAUUUUUGUUACAAAAAUAAGUGUUGUUUUCGACUUUCAAUGCAAACUUUAUUAAUUUUAUUCAGCAAUUUAUUUUUCUAUUGAUUGAAAUUUGGUUAGAUGUAUAGGUAAUAGUAUUUUUAUAUAGGAAAUAUACAAAAUUAAUUGUUUCAUUAAUCUGUGUGUACAAACCCAAAACGACAUUUAAAAUGAAAUAUAGAUGAAUAUAAUUUUUUUCCUUGGUAUAUUUUUGUAUGUAUAGUAGCUUCCGUCAAACCGAGUUUGGUAAGAAUAUUAGUAUUUGCAUUCACAAUUUUACAUCGCUUUUAGAACAUUAUGAAUAAGGGUAUGACUGGUUCAAACACAUCGAUUGCGGUUACGGUUGCAGGAAUUUGCGGAUGCGGGUGGUUGUGGUUUCUAGCGGUUUUAAGAUAUUUGUACGAUUGGUUCUGCAGUUAAAAAUUGGUGUGUUUGCGAGAUACUUAUGACUGGUUAACUAUCCAAUGCAUCAGCGGUUAAAUAAUAAAUUAACAAUAUUUACAUUUUAUAUAAUUAUAAAAAUAUCAAAAAUCAUAAUAUUAUAAUAAAUAUAAAAAUUAUAUUUAGAAAGUUAUAGUUUUAAAUUUUUGAAAAUUAUAGAAAAUAUUUUUAUAAUUUUUAUAAUAUUAAUUAAAAUAUAAUAGAUAUAUUUUAGUAUUUUUAUAAUUCUAAUUUAAAAUUUUUAUUGAAUAUUUUUAUUUUUGUAAUUAUAUUGUUUAAAAAAAUAUUAUCCUGCAGCAACCGUCCGCAACUGCAAACGUUAGCUGAAAACAUCUUUUGAAUUUAUGAGAUUUAGAGCAGUUUGAAGCAGUUUAAAACGGUUUGAGUGAUUGUUGCAAAACGCCAACAACCGCUAACAACCGCAAAAACUGCGUUUGCGGGUGUAGCGGGGAAACCAGUCAUACCCUAAAUCUCUUGAUUUGGGAUAUAAUGUUAUUAGAAUAUUUGGCGUUCAAAGGGAUAAAUAGAUGUUAAAAGCUCGAGUGAAUCAAAUUGACAUCGUCAUGACAAUCUAAUUUUCUGAUGUUAUAAAAGAAGUCAAGAAGUGAUUGUUUGGAAAUCUGGUUGUUGGCUUUUAAACUAUAUAAUUUGUUACUGUAAAUUAAUGGUUGUACCAUAAUAGAAAGAAAGAGUCAACUUCACGUUUCUAUCAAUUUCAUAUUUUAUUUUAGGAUUACAUAUAAUUACUUUCAGAAAAAGAGACUAAACAAUCAAAACAAACAAAAAAAACACCUUGAGAAAUUUGUAACAAACUUUUAUGACAUUUGGUUUAAAACCAUUACAAUUAUGUUUCUAACUAGCAACGAAUUUUAUCAAAAAUCCACCUUAAAUAUUUAAUCUUAAAUAAACUAUAUCAAUAAUUUUGGAUAGCAAUACCUAUGAAUUAUAAAAUCAUGAAAGUUUAACCGGUUAAGGUGUGGUUUUAAAUAGUUAAUCAAAUGAUUAACUAAGCUUGAAAAUAUCAUUUUUAACAGUUUUAUGCGUGUUAGAAUAAAAUAGAAAAAUAACAGAUAAGAAUAAAAAUAUAGGAAUUAUGAGGAAUGAUGAAAAAAGAUUAUUCAUUAUCAAUUUAAUGAAAAACAAAUUUGUUCUAUUUUACUUUACAAUUAAUAAAAAAUGAAAAAAAAUUAUUUUGGUAAAAAAAAUUUGAAAUAUUAAAAACUAUAGUAUUUUUCUUGAUUCCUUUGAUUCUUUUGGUCACCGCUCACCGGUUACACCCUAUGUGAACUUAUUGUAUUAUUUAUAAUCAAGAACUUGAGACACCCAAUAAUUGAAAUAUCUUCUAUUAUCAUCAAGUGUUUGUUUCUAUGGAACUUUAAAAAUCUUUAAACGAAGCAAUUCAUAGAAUCAGGAUAGUGGGGGAAGCCUCCAUAUAAAAGGAAACAAUAAACAUUCAAAAGUAUAAUUGGCCGAAUAUUUGCAAAGACAUUCACUCCAACAAAUUUAACUUCAUCUGAUCAGCUUUUCGUUAAAAUGGUCAUCAUCCGCACAUUUUUCAAUCAAUGGGGGUCUUCAUCACUUUAUAUAUGUCAGAAAGAAAAAACGAAGAACGAGUUUCUUCGAUAAAUCCAAAAAGGUCGAGAUAUGAUAGAAGAAAUAAUGGGAGGAAAUCGAAACAAUUAUUGGAGCGUCACUUCAGGGCGGCUUUAUGAUUCUUUCCUGCCAACUUUGCAGUUGCUCCACCUUCUACUUCGUGACACAGAAUUUAAUAUACACAGCUUUUCAUGCACAUGUUGCUUUAGGGUAUGACGAUAACCAUAUUUCGAAAUUAUCAAUAACUUUUUUUUUUUUUUUCCUUCUAAAUUUUAUUUAUUAUAAAAAUAGUAACCAUACAAGUCCAUUACAAAAAGUAUUUAACCCACCAAAAAACCCAACACAGCUAAACAUUACAAAGGCCAACAACGGCCCAUUGAACAAUUCGCCAACACGAAAGUGGAAACGCAUUGACUACGCAGCCACGUGUUCAAACCACUGUGAAAGAGAAACACGUGGUUGAAAUCACCCCUUCAUGUUCCCGACAUGCAAAUCGACAACGCCGACACGGGAAACCACCGGCUCACCGGGACCAAACCUCACGAUCACAGCCACCACAACUCCACGGCAUCCACCAUCAUUGCCAGAGCACUAACUCUCGGAGAGCUUCAAUCAAACUAUUUUGAGAUCUCAACCGAGCCACACCCACACAGAACAAACAUCACAUGUACCAGAAUCACCCACCGGCGGAGAACGUCGAUAAACCAUCAUCGAGAUAUCAUCCGCCGCCCCAACCCUUUACAACCCAAGAAAGCCAGCCGCCAUCGCCGGAGAAGAAGGCAAAGACGCUGGAGACAAAAGCCGGACGACCAUCGAGAGUAACGACGCGACGCCGGAGACAGAACCGGCCGACCACCGAAGAAAAAAGUGCGUCGCCGGAAACAAAAACCGAUCUGGAAAACUCUCUUAUCUCUACUCCUUGUGAAAGAUUAAAUUUGGAAACAAGGAAAGUAGAGAAAAAAUCCUCUCUCUAAAAGAGAGGAGAGAUCUUUGAGUGAUUUAUACUAUGAAUCAGUUUUUAACUUUUUAUUCCGCAAAACAAAAUUCGAAAUUAUCAAUAACUUAACUGGUGAUAUAAUUAGCAACGGACCAACAUCAAAUAUAGCUGUUGAAUCAAUAAACUCUUUUUAAUCAAAAAGACUUAUGUAGCGGUAAUGUAGAAUGGGUUUAAUUUAUACAGACAAGAAGAGAAUAUCACUGACUAACACAAUUUCGAAUAAUUUGAUAAGAUUUUAGACAUUGCUCCAAACAACAAGAACUUGAAGAAUUUUAUAUUUAUUCAUAUUAAAACCCCCAUUUUUACAACAAGUGUGACUCAACUCAAAAUGUUUUGAAAUCACAAAUCUUUUGUGCUAAAUAAUGAGCAUUUUCUUGAAACCAAUUAAGGUUCUCGAGAGCAAAACCAUGAUGCCAUAGCUUUUUCGAAACUUCAACUUAGUUUUCAACUGGAAUUGAUCUAAAGUUGAUGAAUUAACAUCUUUCCCGAGGCUAAUUAAUCUCUACCAUCAAAUUGAAGGACAUAGUUAUGGUCAAUAACAAAUGAUUCAGCAGUAAAGUACUAGUCAAAAGUACAAAAAAAAAA
This 4494-nucleotide long non-coding RNA is filed under the name Brassica napus (rape). Its description in RNAcentral is "long non-coding RNA (BNAP_LNC014963)". The record is from RNAcentral. Lineage: Eukaryota; Viridiplantae; Streptophyta; Magnoliopsida; Brassicales; Brassicaceae.